Long non-coding RNA from Monodelphis domestica (gray short-tailed opossum), 1467 nucleotides. RefSeq lists it as uncharacterized. The record is from RefSeq and is a predicted model, not a curated record. NCBI's taxonomy places the organism in Eukaryota, Metazoa, Chordata, Mammalia, Didelphimorphia, Didelphidae.
CUGGGGUUGGAGGAGAGAGGAGCUUGUUCAGCCCAGUCGGGAGUGGCAUGCUCUUCUUGGUUCAGCCCAAAGACACAGGCUUCUAAAGAGAGGUGGAUCUGGCUGAUCACUUCCUGUGAGCAGCCUGGGCGCCAGUUUGAUCCUGGAACUCGAGCCUGGAGGAACUCCCUCAGACAGCUUCCUUGAGACGGUCACAUGUUGAGUGGGGAAGAGGGUUCUUGGAGGAAAAGGUGAUGGCAGCCAUCUAGCACUGAGUGGGACCAGCAAAGCCCUGAAAUCUCUCCAAGAAUCCUGGAUAAAGCUGCUGCCUUAUGGUAAUAAAGUGAACCCAAGCUAGCUUCUUAAGAAUCCUGAAAGACAAUGUUUCUUUCUUCCUGGCUGCUUUCAAAACCUCAUUUAUGCCCUGAUGCUACCAAGGAAGAGACAGACCAGGGAACUGGCUGAGGGCUGUUCCCUCUUCUCCCCCAUCUCUUCUCCCCCAAACUUUUAAUUAUAGUGGUUUAUUCAGAUUCUUCUAGAGUGCAUUUAUCCUGGUUUGUUUCCUUUCUUGUUCCACCUCAAAAUAACUUUACAAUCAAACAAUAUUUAUUGAAAGACUUGUGAGUUCCCCUGUUAGGCACAGAAAGCCAAAUAAAAAAAGCUCAAGAUCUAAUUUCGGACCUUAAGGAAAUGAUCAUUAAGUCUCUUCCUAAGGGGACCCUGGCACUGGAUUCUAGGCAUUUGCCGAUGGAAGGGGUUUUAGGCAUUAUCUAAACUAAAGGCUUUGUUUCACAGUUGUCAUAACCGAGUCCUAGAGAAGUACAGGUACUCACUCAAGGUUAAGCAGUUAAUUAGAGGGAGAGCCAGAAUCCCAAUCCAGAGGUCCUACUAGAACACAGUCUCCUUAAGGAUCACAGCACAUUAUAAUUGGAAUAGGUUUUAGGAAUUAUUUGGCCUAUUUUACUAAUUGGGAACUGGUACCCAGGGGGGUAACUGAUAGGACCUGGCUUGUCAGUGGCACAGGUGAGUUUUAUACCUUGUUCCUCAGACUCCCAAAUCAGUGUUUUUUCUUUUAUAUUUCUCUUUGCCACUAUUUCCCAGGAAAAGUGUCUAAGAGGCAACUAGGUUGUUCAGUGGCAAGAGCACCAGACAAAGCAAUUAGACCCCAGUUUAUGCUCUGCCUUAGAUCCUUACUAGCUCUGUGACCCUGGGCAAGUCACUUAAUCUCUGCCCAACCUAGCUUCCUCAAAUAUAAAACAGGAAACCUACUUCCUCGAUUGUUUGAAGAUCGAAUCUGGAAAGUACUUGGCAUAGUGCCAGGCACAUAGAAAAUGCUUAAUAAAAGCUUGUCUUCUUUCAUUAAGUGCCUUCUAUGUACCAGUCAUUAAGUCUAUGCUAAGCAUGGAAGAUACAAAGAAAGGUAAAAAAUGAUCCCCAUCUCAAAUGAGUUUAUAAUCUAAAGAGAAAAAUAACAUAAACAACUAUAGG